Molecule: ribosomal RNA, 253 nt
Filed under: uncultured bacterium
Lineage: Bacteria
Description: partial 16S ribosomal RNA
Rfam family: Bacterial small subunit ribosomal RNA
Source: RNAcentral
UACGGAGGGUGCAAGCGUUAUCCGGAUUUACUGGGUUUAAAGGGUGCGUAGGUGGGUUGGUAAGUCAGUGGUGAAAUACUUUCGCUUAACGAAGGAACUGCCAUUGAUACUACCAGUCUUGAAUACAGUGGAGGUAGGCGGAAUGCGUCAUGUAGCGGUGAAAUGCUUAGAUAUGACGCAGAACACCAAUUGCGAAGGCAGCUGGCUACACGAAUAUUGACACUGAUGCACGAAAGCGUGGGGAUCAAACAGG